ACGGUUUGCUUAGUGAUUCAUGAACAUGAGGGUGGACUCUGUUUUGAGGCUGUGGCAAGACUACCUUUGAUGAAUCUUUCUGGGUCAGAAACGUACUUGACAGAUUUUUUUUUUUCAUUUUGUACAUUUCUUCUUCAUCAAGCCAAACUAUCAGAGAAUUCCAACUACGACAGAGGAAAUGGAGUACCAUGUAGAUGAGCACGUCGCUGAAUGUCAAAGAUUGUAACAUAAAACUUGAAAUUCUCAACAGGACUGAGAAGUUUCAGAAGGAAUACUUAAAAUUGACUACAGAACACAAGACUUCAAGGCAGCUGUUAUGUGGAAUACUAAAGCUAUGUUUGAUCAACUAUGAACAGUCACACACUGACAAAUAGUAAAGAGAAUUUUUGAAUAUGAAAAAAGCUGGAAACUAUAAGUAACAACUGUAACAAGAAAACAAGAAAGGUGCUGGAAGAAGUGAAUGCAAUCACACAGACCAGCUCCACAGGUUUUCACCAUGACAGCAAAUGGCUCAAGCAGGAACCUAGCAAAACUGUCUUCUGAAAGGCUCCACCCAACAGCUGGCUGAAACAGAUGCAAAGACCCACAGCCCAACAUUUAGACGGAGCUUGGGGAGUCUUGUGGAAGAGUCGGAGGAAGGAUUGAGGGACCCAAAGAGGACAGGGACUCUACAGGAAGACCAACAGAGUCAACUAACCUGGACUUUUGGGGACUCUCAGAGACUGAACCACCAAAGAAUGAGCAUGGACUGGAACUAGCCCCACACUCACAUUCCCCCCACCCAAUACCCUCUUAUAUAUAGCAGAUGUGCAGCAUGGUCUUCAUUUGGGUUCCCCAAUAAUUGGAGCAGGGGCUGCCCCUGAAUCUGUUGCCUGCCUGUGGAUCAUCUUCCCCUAACUGGGCUUCCACGUUUAGCCUCAGUGAGAGAGGAUACACCUAGUCCUGCAGUGACUGAUAUGCAGGGAGGAGAGGGGUGAUACCCAGGGGUUCCCCUUUCUUGGGAGGAGUGAGGAGAGGAGCUGUGAGGCAGGACUUAAGGGGGCUGAUAUUGGAAUAUAAAAUAAAUAAGUAAAUAAAAUAAUUUUAAAAAAAAGAAAGAGGUUCCAUGAGCUUGAGGGUCAUACCAAAGGAUUUGGAAUAGAAUGAAGCCUUCUACUUCUAUAAUGUCUAUAAUGACACUCCUUUCUUCUGGUUGUUUCUAGUAGUUUGCUUUAAGAUGGUGACUACAAUCUUUGCCUGUGUAUUUGUUUUUGUUUGUUUGUUUUCAGUUCAGCCUGGUGGCUUUUUUGACUGAAGAGUAGCACGUCUUUGGUAGUUUGAAUAUUUCCGGCCCAGAAAGUAAAUAUCAUAGUGUUUGCUAAAGACACCUUGCUCUUAAUAUGGUCCAUGGCCAUUCUAUUGGAUAUUGAUCCAGCUGCAUUUUUAGUACUGAGGAACUUUUAGCAGGAACAGGAACUCCUGCUUUCCCUGUUAUGGUUUGAAUCUGAAAUCUCUGCCUCAGGUUCUCAGUCUAAUUGAUCUCGGUCUAGUUGAUGCUAUUGGGGAGACUGGAGAACUUGAAAAUGGAGAUCUGGAAAAUGGAGACCUGGAUGAAGAAGUGGGUCAUUGGGCCAGGUCCUUGGGAGUGUAUUAUCCUUGACAGCUUCCUGCCACUAUAUACACUUUCUCAUCUGCCAUUUGUGAACAUGGCUUUCCUCAUUAAGAUAGACUGACUAUAUCAAAACUGAACCAAAGGAAACCUUUUCACUUCUCAGACAUGUUAGCAAUUCGGUAAUAGUAGUGGAAAAGUAAUUAAUACUUUUUCUUUGCCUAUGAUGUCCUGCUCACAGUUGACUGAAUGUGGACCCCAACUGGGAUAUAUAUUCUCGGCACCUGGUAUAUUGUCCUGAUACACUUGUAAUAUUUGUGUGAAUUAAAGUUCUAAUGUAUACAUAUUAUAUCUUUCAAUUGUGGGUAAGCUAUUUUUGUAGUUUGCAGCUCCUCUUGUGAUUUAUAAAUCUGAGAAUUCUCU
Molecule: long non-coding RNA, 2011 nt
Filed under: Mus musculus (house mouse)
Lineage: Eukaryota; Metazoa; Chordata; Mammalia; Rodentia; Muridae
Description: RIKEN cDNA D630013N20 gene (D630013N20Rik)
Source: RNAcentral